UUGCGCAGGUUUCGUGAAGGGACAGUCUCCUACGAGGAUAUUAGUAGCAGUGUUUUUUAAACUGGAAGAAAGCCAAGAAGAGGUAGGAGAUAAAUGCAGUAAGGAUGCUGUUACUCUUAAUGGAAUUGAAAUCUAACAAGUGUUCUCAGGCAACCUCUGGAGGAAUCCAGCACACACGGAAUAUCUCCAGCCACCCCACAGCACAUCCCCAGAGCUUCAGCUCAAGAGGUAAGCCGCAGCCCACUCUGCAUGCCACUGCAGACGGCUACUUACAAAAGGGACUGUUUCAGAGUUAACUUCAUUUCAUUGAUGAGUUUCAUUUCAUUGUCCAACAGACUUGCCUAGGUUGUCCACGAACACUCCUUCAUUUAGGAGCCAAGUUGUGGGGUAAUUUAUAGGGAUGUUGUUACUUCACAUUAUUGCUAUUCUUACAGUGAUGAAAGAAACCACCACUUCUUAAACAUUUGCUGGCUGUGGACCAGCAUUUCACAUAUAUCCUCUCUUUUAAUUCUGACAACUCAAUGAAGUAAAUAUUAUCAUUCUCAUUUUACAGACAAAAAAAUUCAA
RNAcentral lists this long non-coding RNA (567 nucleotides) under Delphinapterus leucas (beluga whale). Its description in RNAcentral is "lncRNA (ENSDLEG00000008460.1)". Lineage: Eukaryota; Metazoa; Chordata; Mammalia; Artiodactyla; Monodontidae. The record is from RNAcentral.